This 403-nucleotide ribosomal RNA is filed under the name uncultured bacterium. RNAcentral's name for it is "bacterial SSU rRNA". It matches the Rfam family "Bacterial small subunit ribosomal RNA", at positions 362 to 757 of the family's 1533-position model. The record is from RNAcentral.
UUUUGGACAAUGGGCGAAAGCCUGAUCCAGCAAUGCCGCGUGCAGGAUGAAGGCCUUCGGGUUGUAAACUGCUUUUGUACGGAACGAAACGGUUCUCCUUAAUACGGGGGGCUAAUGACGGUACCGUAAGAAUAAGCACCGGCUAACUACGUGCCAGCAGCCGCGGUAAUACGUAGGGUGCGAGCGUUAAUCGGAAUUACUGGGCGUAAAGCGUGCGCAGGCGGUUAUAUAAGACAGAUGUGAAAUCCCCGGGCUCAACCUGGGACCUGCAUUUGUGACUGUAUAGCUAGAGUACGGUAGAGGGGGAUGGAAUUCCGCGUGUAGCAGUGAAAUGCGUAGAUAUGCGGAGGAACACCGAUGGCGAAGGCAAUCCCCUGGACCUGUACUGACGCUCAUGCACUAA